GUACUACUGACGAGUCCCAAAUAGAAGGAAACAGCUGUCCUGUUC
RNAcentral lists this non-coding RNA (45 nucleotides) under Echinostoma caproni. Lineage: Eukaryota; Metazoa; Platyhelminthes; Trematoda; Plagiorchiida; Echinostomatidae. The record is from RNAcentral.